Molecule: non-coding RNA, 29 nt
Filed under: Homo sapiens (human)
Lineage: Eukaryota; Metazoa; Chordata; Mammalia; Primates; Hominidae
Source: RNAcentral
UGGACACAAGAGUGUGGAACAGGUAUGAC